GAUGAACGCUGGCGGCGUGCUUAACACAUGCAAGUCGAACGGAAAGGCUCCUGCUUGCAGGGGUACUCGAGUGGCGAACGGGUGAGUAACACGUGGGUGAUCUGCCCUGCACUUCGGGAUAAGCCUGGGAAACUGGGUCUAAUACCGGAUAGGACCACAUUUUGGAUGGUGUGGUGGAAAGUUUUUCGGUGUGGGAUGAGCUCGCGGCCUAUCAGCUUGUUGGUGGGGUAAUGGCCUACCAAGGCGUCGACGGGUAGCCGGCCUGAGAGGGUGUACGGCCACAUUGGGACUGAGAUAAGGCCCAGACUCCUACGGGAGGCAGCAGUGGGGAAUAUUGCACAAUGGGCGGAAGCCUGAUGCAGCGACGCCGCGUGGGGGAUGACGGCCUUCGGGUUGUAAACUCCUUUCGCUAGGGACGAAGCGCAAGUGACGGUAACUGGAGAAGAAGCACCGGCUAACUACGUG
This 465-nucleotide ribosomal RNA is filed under the name uncultured bacterium. Its description in RNAcentral is "partial 16S ribosomal RNA". It matches the Rfam family "Bacterial small subunit ribosomal RNA", at positions 28 to 507 of the family's 1533-position model. The record is from RNAcentral.